UCCGACCGUUGUUACAGCUAA
Non-coding RNA from Caenorhabditis elegans, 21 nucleotides. Lineage: Eukaryota; Metazoa; Nematoda; Chromadorea; Rhabditida; Rhabditidae. The record is from Ensembl.